Molecule: long non-coding RNA, 544 nt
Filed under: Capsicum annuum
Lineage: Eukaryota; Viridiplantae; Streptophyta; Magnoliopsida; Solanales; Solanaceae
Description: long non-coding RNA (CANN_LNC004476)
Source: RNAcentral
AAAUUGCAAGUCAGGAUCCCACCUGAAGAAUAGGGCGAUGAAAUGCGAGGCAAGAGUUAAGGAAAGCUGUAUAGAUAGAGUUUUUAUAAUUUCAUUUAUAUUUUUAACUUGUCAUUUUAAUUUUUGAUUUAAUGACAGAGCCUCGGACCGGAACCUCGACGGGACCUCACUCGACUCUCUAACUCAGUUGUCCUUCUUUCUUUUGUUUCUUCCUUGGAAUAAUGGUUGGGUCAAAAUUCAGUCUCGUUGUCUACUUCUUUGUAUGAAAACACUUUGUGUUUACAUGCAAAGAGGGGCAUGAUGUAGACACGUAAUUUUGUCCCUCCCCGAAAGCAUUUUUAUAAUUUUACCUCCGUCUUACUGUGUGCCCUUAUCCGUAAGAUUAUAUCCCACAAAAAUAUAAAAAAAAUAACAAACCCACUAACGAACCUAAUCCCCAAUUAUUCUUUUGGUAAAAAAAUUAACCACCGCUCAUAUCAAUUUCGGACAACAUAUCACCAUCCCAUGUCCCCUAUCCUAACGACUACCCCUACCAAGUCACCAC